This 254-nucleotide ribosomal RNA is filed under the name uncultured bacterium. RNAcentral describes it as "partial 16S ribosomal RNA". It matches the Rfam family "Bacterial small subunit ribosomal RNA", at positions 524 to 776 of the family's 1533-position model. The record is from RNAcentral.
UACGGGGGGAGCAAGCGUUGUUCGGAUUUACUGGGCGUAAAGGGCGCGUAGGCGGUCAGCACAAGUCAGUUGUGAAAUCUCCGGGCUUAACCCGGAAAGGUCAACUGAUACUGUGCGACUAGAGUGCGGAAGGGGCAACUGGAAUUCUUGGUGUAGCGGUGAAAUGCGCAGAUAUCAAGAGGAACACCUGCGGCGAAGGCGGGUUGCUGGGCCGACACUGACGCUGAAGCGCGAAAGCCAGGGGAGCGAACGGG